UCUGACGGAGCAACGCCGCGUGAGUGAUGAAGGUUUUCGGAUCGUAAAACUCUGUUGUUAGGGAAGAACAAGUACCGUUCGAAUAGGGCGGUACCUUGACGGUACCUAACCAGAAAGCCACGGCUAACUACGUGCCAGCAGCCGCGGUAAUACGUAGGUGGCAAGCGUUGUCCGGAAUUAUUGGGCGUAAAGCGCGCGCAGGCGGUUUCUUAAGUCUGAUGUGAAAGCCCCCGGCUCAACCGGGGAGGGUCAUUGGAAACUGGGGAACUUGAGUGCAGAAGAGGAGAGUGGAAUUCCACGUGUAGCGGUGAAAUGCGUAGAGAUGUGGAGGAACACCAGUGGCGAAGGCGACUCUCUGGUCUGUAACUGACGCUGAGGCGCGAAAGCGUGGGGAGCGAACAGGAUUAGAUACCCUGGUAGUCCACGCCGUAAACGAUGAGUGCUAAGUGUUAGAGGGUUUCCGCCCUUUAGUGCUGCAGCAAACGCAUUAAGCACUCCGCCUGGGGAGUACGGUCGCAAGACUGAAACUCAAAGGAAUUGACGGGGGCCCGCACAAGCGGUGGAGCAUGUGGUUUAAUUCGAAGCAACGCGAAGAACCUUACCAGGUCUUGACAUCCUCUGACAACCCUAGAGAUAGGGCUUCCCCUUCGGGGGCAGAGUGACAGGUGGUGCAUGGUUGUCGUCAGCUCGUGUCGUGAGAUGUUGGGUUAAGUCCCGCAACGAGCGCAACCCUUGAUCUUAGUUGCCAGCAUUCAGUUGGGCACUCUAAAGGUGACUGCCGGUGACAACCGGAGGAAGGUGGGGAUGACGUCAAUCAUCAUGCCCCUUAUGACC
Molecule: ribosomal RNA, 834 nt
Filed under: Bacillus sp. (in: firmicutes)
Lineage: Bacteria; Bacillati; Bacillota; Bacilli; Caryophanales; Bacillaceae
Description: bacterial SSU rRNA
Rfam family: Bacterial small subunit ribosomal RNA
Source: RNAcentral